This 253-nucleotide ribosomal RNA is filed under the name uncultured bacterium. RNAcentral's name for it is "partial 16S ribosomal RNA". It matches the Rfam family "Bacterial small subunit ribosomal RNA", at positions 524 to 776 of the family's 1533-position model. The record is from RNAcentral.
UACAGGGGGUGCAAACGUUGCUCGGAAUCAUUGGGCGUAAAGCGCACGCAGGCGGUCUGUUCAGUUUGGAGUGACAGUUCCUGGCUCAACCGGGAAAGUGCUUCGAAUACUGGCGGACUUGAGGGCUUCAGAGGGACGCGGAAUUCCGGGUGGAGUGGUGAAAUGCGUAGAGAUCGGGAGGAACACCAGAGGCGAAGGCGGCGACCUGGACAGGAACUGACACUAAACUACGAAAGCGUGGGGAGCAAACAGG